AUCGGCAGGGCUGUGGACAUUCGUACUACCCUCUCGCCUUUUACUAGAGGAUACCGUGUCCGCUGUCCGCUAAUGCCGUGUUACCAAUUUUUCAGACAACCGUUGCAUUCGGUGC
Molecule: small nuclear RNA, 115 nt
Filed under: Dacryopinax primogenitus
Lineage: Eukaryota; Fungi; Basidiomycota; Dacrymycetes; Dacrymycetales; Dacrymycetaceae
Description: U5 spliceosomal RNA
Rfam family: U5 spliceosomal RNA
About the family: U5 RNA is a component of both types of known spliceosome. The precise function of this molecule is unknown, though it is known that the 5' loop is required for splice site selection and p220 binding, and that both the 3' stem-loop and the Sm site are important for Sm protein binding and cap methylation.
Source: Rfam by way of RNAcentral